Non-coding RNA from Aquiflexum balticum DSM 16537, 117 nucleotides. The record is from Rfam. NCBI's taxonomy places the organism in Bacteria, Pseudomonadati, Bacteroidota, Cytophagia, Cytophagales, Cyclobacteriaceae.
AGAGGCCCUCCGAUGGCGGUUUACCGAAACAGCUAUCAAACUACCUUACGCUGCAUAUCUGGGAAACCAAUAUGUGGUGAGCGGUAAGGAAAAACGGGGACAUUGAUCCCCGUAGGU